RNAcentral lists this ribosomal RNA (386 nucleotides) under uncultured bacterium. RNAcentral describes it as "bacterial SSU rRNA". It matches the Rfam family "Bacterial small subunit ribosomal RNA", at positions 28 to 407 of the family's 1533-position model. The record is from RNAcentral.
GAUGAACGCUAGCGGCAGGCUUAAUACAUGCAAGUCGAGGGGCAGCACGGGUAGCAAUACCUGGUGGCGACCGGCAAACGGGUGCGGAACACGUACGCAACCUUCCCAUAACUGGUGAAUAGCCUUCCGAAAGGGAGAUUAAUACACCGUAACAUAACGAGUAGGCAUCUACUUGUUAUUAUAGGCUUCGGCCGGUUUUGGAUGGGCGUGCGCCUGAUUAGGUAGUUGGCGGGGUAACGGCCCACCAAGCCUGCGAUCAGUAACUGGUGUGAGAGCACGACCAGUCACACGGGCACUGAGACACGGGCCCGACUCCUACGGGAGGCAGCAGUAAGGAAUAUUGGUCAAAUGGACGAAAGUCUGAACCAGCCAAUGCCGCGUGAAGG